Molecule: transfer RNA, 73 nt
Filed under: Coryphaenoides armatus
Lineage: Eukaryota; Metazoa; Chordata; Actinopteri; Gadiformes; Macrouridae
Description: tRNA-Asn
Source: RNAcentral
UAGGUAGAUGCUCGCUGGUUUGGGCGCUUAGCUGUUAACUAAGAAAUUAAAGGAUCGAGGCCUUUCUAUCUAG